This 440-nucleotide ribosomal RNA is filed under the name uncultured bacterium. Its description in RNAcentral is "partial 16S ribosomal RNA". It matches the Rfam family "Bacterial small subunit ribosomal RNA", at positions 338 to 795 of the family's 1533-position model. The record is from RNAcentral.
CCUACGGGAGACAGCAGUGGGGAAUAUUGCACAAUGGGGGAAACCCUGAUGCAGCGACGCCGCGUGAGUGAAGAAGGAAUUCGUUAUGUAAAGCUCUAUCAGCAGGGAAGAAAAUGACGGUACCUGAGUAGGAAGCCCCGGCUAACUACGUGCCAGCAGCCGCGGUAAUACGGAGGGGGCAAGCGUUAUCCGGAUUUACUGGGUGUAAAGGGAGCGUAGACGGCAGUGCAAGUCUGGAGUGAAAGGCGGGGGCUCAACCCCCGGACUGCUCUGGAAACUGUACGGCUGGAGUGCAGGAGAGGUAAGUGGAAUUCCUGGUGUAGCGGUGAAAUGCGUAGAUAUUAGGAGGAACCCCAGUGGCGAAGGCGGCUUACUGGACCGUAACUGACGUUGAGGCUCGAAAGCGUGGGGAGCGAACAGGAUUAGAUACCCCAGUAGUC